GGGGUGAUGGCCUACCAAGGCGACGACGGGUAGCCGGCCUGAGAGGGUGUCCGGCCCACUGGGACUGAGAUACGGCCCAGACUCCUACGGGAGGCAGCAGUGGGGAAUAUUGCACAAUGGGCGCAAGCCUGAUGCAGCGACGCCGCGUGGGGGAUGACGGCCUUCGGGUUGUAAACCUCUUUCAGCAUCGACGAAGCGUAAGUGACGGUAGAUGCAGAAGAAGCACCGGCCAACUACGUGCCAGCAGCCGCGGUAAUACGUAGGGUGCGAGCGUUGUCCGGAAUUACUGGGCGUAAAGAGCUCGUAGGUGGUUUGUCGCGUUGUUCGUGAAAACUCACAGCUUAACUGUGGGCGUGCGGGCGAUACGGGCAGACUGGAGUACUGCAGGGGAGACUGGAAUUCCUGGUGUAGCGGUGGAAUGCGCAGAUAUCAGGAGGAACACCGGUGGCGAAGGCGGGUCUCUGGGCAGUAACUGACGCUGAGGAGCGAAAGCGUGGGGAGCGAACAGGAUUAGAUACCCUGGUAGUCCACGCCGUAAACGGUGGGUACUAGGUGUGGGUUUCCUUCCUUGGGAUCCGUGCCGUAGCUAACGCAUUAAGUACCCCGCCUGGGGAGUACGGA
Molecule: ribosomal RNA, 621 nt
Filed under: uncultured Actinomycetes bacterium
Lineage: Bacteria; Bacillati; Actinomycetota; Actinomycetes
Description: bacterial SSU rRNA
Rfam family: Bacterial small subunit ribosomal RNA
Source: RNAcentral